ACUGCUCUAGAUGGACUUGGAGGUUCUUUCAUUGUGGUUUCUCUGCUGCUUUCCCUUCGAAAGCUGAGAUUAUCUGAAUAAUUUGAAACCUCUGCUGUUUGUCCGAUCUCUUCUUUUGUUCUGUUCUUUUCAUACUUUUUUGGCUUUUGAUCACUUGAAAUAUCCAGUUAUUUAUGGAUCCAUAAGAAUGACUGGCUUAGUUUCUGGAUCUCAUUCCUAACUCAGGGAAGAGCAUAGUGAUAUCUACAUCAAGGUUGAGAAACACUGUUAUAAUACCUGGAUUUGAUUCCCGCAUAUUCCUUCACCUUCCUACCCAGAGUUUGGGAUGAAACCCAGGAAUUAUAAUUUUUUAUCUCUGUUGCUCUUUGUCCUGUCUCCCAGGUUUUUAUUAAGAGCUCCUAAACUACCUUUUGGAAUCCUCAUUAUCUAUAUUUGCUACAUGGACCAAAAACUUUUAAAGUCUUUCCCAGAAGAAGCACAUUGUCGCUCACUCUCUCCUUCCCUCUCACACAUGUGAACAAACUACACCAGUGCCUUCCGCAGAAGGAUGAGGAGGGAGGAUGGCUUAAGGGAAAUCAAAUACACAGGUGGUUUUGUGCAUUUUUCCUAAGAAAAUUAGCCUAUUUUCAUUGUUGUAUGUUUUUCCUCUCUUUUCCCCCCUCCCUCCCAUGCUUCCCCAGAAAACGAUGCAAGCUAAACUUGAAUUCUAAAUGAUAUAUUCUUGUCAGAAAUAUUUUCCUGGGCAGAACCCUUGACUCUCUGUAAGGUAGGAUGAAGGAUUUCUGGCAAGAUAGAUGGAAUAUGCCUGAAGAGUACUCUGAUUUAAUAGGAAAAAGGAUGAAGUUACAUUCCAGAAUGCUCCAGAUUGCCUUUUUAAUUUUCAGGAACAUACAGAAACACUGUGCCAUUUAAAUACAAGAACGUCCUGACUCUUAUGAUCCAACCCAGCCCUUUAAACUGACGUGUUCAAUAACAAUAGGAAGCAAAAACUAAAGCUGCUCCUCUUUGGAAUCGAAAUACACCUCCAACGUUUUCUCUAGAUCAGAAUUCCGUCUUGUUCCAAAGUCUACGAUGGAUAGCUGAGCCUUGAUUUUUGUCUUGAGGAAAUUGUAAUAAACUUUAUUUAUAAUCCAAUUAUUAAAA
Thamnophis sirtalis is the source of this 1143-nucleotide non-coding RNA. The record is from RefSeq and is a predicted model, not a curated record. Lineage: Eukaryota; Metazoa; Chordata; Lepidosauria; Squamata; Natricidae.